UACGUAGGGUCCGAGCGUUGUCCGGAAUUACUGGGCGUAAAGAGCUCGUAGGUGGUUUGUCGCGUUGUCCGUGAAAACUCACAGCUCAACUGUGGGCGUGCGGGCGAUACGGGCAGACUGGAGUACUGCAGGGGAGACUGGAAUUCCUGGUGUAGCGGUGGAAUGCGCAGAUAUCAGGAGGAACACCGGUGGCGAAGGCGGGUCUCUGGGCCGAUACUGACGCUGAGGCGCGAAAGCCAGGGGAGCAAACGGG
Molecule: ribosomal RNA, 253 nt
Filed under: uncultured bacterium
Lineage: Bacteria
Description: partial 16S ribosomal RNA
Rfam family: Bacterial small subunit ribosomal RNA
Source: RNAcentral